UCCCUGGCAGUCCAGUGGCUAAGACUCUGUGCUCCCAACUCAAGGGGUCUAGGUUUGAUCCCUGGUCAGGGAA
RNAcentral lists this transfer RNA (73 nucleotides) under Bos taurus (domestic cattle). It matches the Rfam family "tRNA". Rfam says of the family: Transfer RNA (tRNA) molecules are approximately 80 nucleotides in length. Lineage: Eukaryota; Metazoa; Chordata; Mammalia; Artiodactyla; Bovidae. The record is from Rfam by way of RNAcentral. RNAcentral also lists the same sequence under 1 other name.